This 422-nucleotide ribosomal RNA is filed under the name uncultured bacterium. RNAcentral describes it as "bacterial SSU rRNA". It matches the Rfam family "Bacterial small subunit ribosomal RNA", at positions 355 to 774 of the family's 1533-position model. The record is from RNAcentral.
UAGGGAAUCUUCCACAAUGGGCGAAAGCCUGAUGGAGCAACGCCGCGUGAGUGAUGAAGGUUUUCGGAUCGUAAAACUCUGUUGUUAGGGAAGAACACCCGAGAGAGGAUCUCGGACUGACGGUACCUAACGAGAAAGCCCCGGCUAACUACGUGCCAGCAGCCGCGGUAAUACGUAGGGGGCAAGCGUUGUCCGGAAUUAUUGGGCGUAAAGGGUGCUCAGGCGGAUUUGUAAGUCAGAGGUGAAAUCUUACAGCUUAACUGUGAAACUGCCUUUGAUACUGCAAGCCUAGAGUAUGGAAGAGAGUGAUGGAAUAUCUGGUGUAGCAGUGAAAUGCGUAGAUAAGAGAUAGAACACCAAUGGCGAAGGCAGUCACUUGGUCCAUUACUGACGCUAAAGCACGAAAGCGUGGGUAGCAAACA